Molecule: ribosomal RNA, 478 nt
Filed under: uncultured bacterium
Lineage: Bacteria
Description: partial 16S ribosomal RNA
Rfam family: Bacterial small subunit ribosomal RNA
Source: RNAcentral
GACGAACGCUGGCGGCGUGCUUAACACAUGCAAGUCGAACGGUAAGGCCCUUCGGGGAACACGAGUGGCGAACGGGUGAGUAACACGUGGGUGAUCUGCCCUGCACUUCGGGAUAAGCCUGGGAAACUGGGUCUAAUACCGGAUAGGACUCCGGACUGCAUGGUCUGGGGUGGAAAGCUUUUGCGGUGUGGGAUGGGCCCGCGGCCUAUCAGCUUGUUGGUGGGGUGAUGGCCUACCAAGGCGACGACGGGUAGCCGGCCUGAGAGGGUGGCCGGCCACACUGGGACUGAGAUACGGCCCAGACUCCGACGGGAGGCAGCAGUGGGGAAUAUUGCACAAUGGGCGCAAGCCUGAUGCAGCGACGCCGCGUGAGGGAUGACGGCCUUCGGGUUGUAAACCUCUUUCAGCAUCGACGAAGCGAAAGUGACGGUAGGUGCAGAAGAAGGACCGGCCAACUACGUGCCAGCAGCCGCCGUAA